RNAcentral lists this ribosomal RNA (497 nucleotides) under uncultured bacterium. RNAcentral's name for it is "partial 16S ribosomal RNA". It matches the Rfam family "Bacterial small subunit ribosomal RNA", at positions 28 to 507 of the family's 1533-position model. The record is from RNAcentral.
GAUGAACGCUGACGGCGUGCCUAAUACAUGCAAGUCGAGCGAACGGACGAGAAGCUUGCUUCUCUGAUGUUAGCGGCGGACGGGUGAGUAACACGUGGAUAACCUACCUAUAAGACUGGGAUAACUUCGGGAAACCGGAGCUAAUACCGGAUAAUAUUUUGAACCGCAUGGUUCAAAAGUGAAAGACGGUCUUGCUGUCACUUAUAGAUGGAUCCGCGCUGCAUUAGCUAGUUGGUAAGGUAACGGCUUACCAAGGCAACGAUGCGUAGCCGACCUGAGAGGGUGAUCGGCCACACUGGAACUGAGACACGGUCCAGACUCCUACGGGAGGCAGCAGUAGGGAAUCUUCCGCAAUGGGCGAAAGCCUGACGGAGCAACGCCGCGUGAGUGAUGAAGGUCUUCGGAUCGUAAAACUCUGUUAUUAGGGAAGAACAUAUGUGUAAGUAACUGUGCACAUCUUGACGGUACCUAAUCAGAAAGCCACGGCUAACUACGUG